CAGCCAAAGAAAUUAAGGCUUGAAUGGAAAAGUAAAUGGAACCCUUCGAGAGAUGAACAUUUUGAGAGCCAUGGGGAAUUCUGCACUUUCGCUGGUGUCCUCACAGUUCUCUUUAGACAUUUGAAAUCUGUUUGGAUGCCAACAGGGAAUGAGAACCCUGACCUUCUGCAGAGACUGAGUAUGAAAACGCGUGCAGACAAGGAAAUAUGGAACGGUCAGCUUCGAGCCCCAAAGUAAUGAAGUUUUCCCCUAAAACAUUCUGUGGUGCAGAUGGAAGACCAUAAAAGUUCCUGGAACUGGGGUUAAUCCCACAACACACAAGUCUAAUCAAGACAGCAUCAUGGUUAUUGGAAGGAGAUGAAAUGAACAGUAGCCCAUGGGCACUAUUCAGGUGCAGAAAGCUCCUGCU
Molecule: long non-coding RNA, 409 nt
Organism: Calidris pugnax (ruff)
Lineage: Eukaryota; Metazoa; Chordata; Aves; Charadriiformes; Scolopacidae
Exons: 3
Source: RefSeq, a predicted model, not a curated record